Non-coding RNA from Capsicum annuum, 107 nucleotides. NCBI's taxonomy places the organism in Eukaryota, Viridiplantae, Streptophyta, Magnoliopsida, Solanales, Solanaceae. The record is from Rfam.
UGAUAAUGGUGAGGUCAAUUUCUCAGCAUACCCUUAAAUAUCUCCCAAGCUUGGUAGAGAUUCGUUCCGUCUUUUAGUAUAAAACUCAAGAUUUCACUCCUCAAGCG